RNAcentral lists this ribosomal RNA (430 nucleotides) under Bacteroidota bacterium. RNAcentral describes it as "Bacteroidetes bacterium partial 16S ribosomal RNA". It matches the Rfam family "Bacterial small subunit ribosomal RNA", at positions 355 to 776 of the family's 1533-position model. The record is from RNAcentral. Lineage: Bacteria; Pseudomonadati; Bacteroidota.
UAGGGAAUCUUCGGCAAUGGGGGGAACCCUGACCGAGCAACGCCGCGUGAGUGAAGAAGGUUUUCGGAUCGUAAAGCUCUGUUGUUAAGGAAGAACGAGUGUGAGAAUGGAAAGUUCAUACUGUGACGGUAUCUAACCAGAAAGCCACGGCUAACUACGUGCCAGCAGCCGCGGUAAUACGUAGGUGGCAAGCGUUGUCCGGAUUUAUUGGGCGUAAAGCGAGCGCAGGCGGUCAAUUAAGUCUGAUGUGAAAGCCCCCGGCUCAACCGGGGAGGGUCAUUGGAAACUGGUUGACUUGAGUGCAGAAGAGGAGAGUGGAAUUCCAUGUGUAGCGGUGAAAUGCGUAGAUAUAUGGAGGAACACCAGUGGCGAAGGCGACACUCUGGUCUGUAACUGACGCGGAGGCUCGAAAGCGUGGGUAGCAAACAGG